UUUUUGGCACAGGGGAGAGCUUGCAGGUUUCUUUAUCUCUGAAGUGCAGAUUCUAAAAUCACCUGGUCUGCAGCCAGUUUUAGCAAAGCAUUAAGUCUUGAUAGCGUGUGUGCAUACAUCAACACCCACGAAUGAGAGAACUGUCAGGAUGAACUCUUCUUUAGGACAUGAACAAUUUAAGCAGAUAUUUGGCUAAACGGAAAACAAACAUUUCAAAAAAAGGCAACCUAAAAAUAAGAUCCUAAUCUUCAAAAAUAAGUUCUUACAAACAAAAUAACAUCACAUAAAGCAUUACAUACAGCUUUAAUACAUAAAUUAUUAUUAAAACACAACUGAA
This 337-nucleotide long non-coding RNA is filed under the name Bos taurus (domestic cattle). RNAcentral's name for it is "long non-coding RNA NONBTAT007515". The record is from RNAcentral. Lineage: Eukaryota; Metazoa; Chordata; Mammalia; Artiodactyla; Bovidae.